AAUAUUGGACAAUGGGGCAACCCUUAACCAACCAAUCCGCGUGUGUGGAGAAGGUCUNNNGGUUUNACAGCACUUUUAGUUGGNGGGNAGGGGUUUAGGUUAAUACCCUUAAGUUUUGACGUUAACAACAGAAUAAGCACCGGCUAACUCCUUGCCAGCCGCCGCGGUAAUACAGAGGGUGCAAGCGUUAAUCGGAAUUACUGGGCGUAAAGCGGGCGUAGGUGGUUCAGUAAGAUGGGUGUGAAAUCCCCGGGCUUAACCUGGGAACUGCUUUCAUAACUGCUGAGCUAGAGUACGGUAGAGGGUAGUGGAAUUUCCUGUGUAGCGGUGAAAUGCGUAGAUAUAGGAAGGAACACCAGUGGCGAAGGCGACUACCUGGACUGAUACUGACACUGAGGUGCGAAAGCGUGGGGAGCAAAC
Molecule: ribosomal RNA, 420 nt
Filed under: uncultured bacterium
Lineage: Bacteria
Description: partial 16S ribosomal RNA
Rfam family: Bacterial small subunit ribosomal RNA
Source: RNAcentral